CUUAUGAAAAAAAAUUGGGAUCAAAUUGAAGCAUCCUACUAUUUUUUGUGAUUUUUCAAAGUGAAGAAAUAAAAUGUGAAAUAAUGAAAUAAUAUGAAAAAUGAAAUUUGAAAGAAAUUGGCAACAUGCAUCAGCCAGGAUUUGAACCCACGCGUGCCAGGUAAAAAUGAGCGCUCAAAAAUUUAAUUCAGAAACAAGCUCGCCAAGAAUCUAACCCGUGCCAGGCCAGGGAAAACAAAUAAAAAACAAAACGCAAAUGCCAAGGCUCGAACCCGCGCGCGCCCGGUCCAAAAGUGCUUGAAACGCUGCGUUUCAG
RNAcentral lists this long non-coding RNA (316 nucleotides) under Lathyrus oleraceus (garden pea). Its description in RNAcentral is "Pisum sativum (pea) long non-coding RNA (PSAT_LNC035666)". The record is from RNAcentral. Lineage: Eukaryota; Viridiplantae; Streptophyta; Magnoliopsida; Fabales; Fabaceae.